GUAAAAGACUAAACCAAUUACAGACGUCAUUUUGGUUUGAAGAGGAAAAAGGUCAGGGACUAUGAUUGAAAUCCUCCAUAACUGAAACAUGGCAACCUAAGCAUAUCUUUAGCAUAACAUCUGAAAAAUGUUUCAAAGUACAAUCUGAACACAUAAUGAAUGUAAAAUGCUGAUCUGUUUAAGUCAAGGAGAAUUCUGACAAGAUUUUACCUUCAGCAUUUUUCUGGAAUUUGCUUCCCACUUUGGGAGCACAUUAAUUUCACAGUAUUUUCACAUGGCAUUCAUGCUCCAGUUUAGACAGUGUGUGUAUAGACAUGCAUAGUUAUGAAUUCUGCUUCUGAGUGGGUUUUUUUGGUUUCUUUUUUUUCAGUUGAUGAAUGUUUUCUUUUACUAGGUGUCUUUUUCCGAGGUGUCUUAAAUGACACUGCUUUAAGGGAGUUACAACUGAGUUCAAGAUUCUACAAAGUUUAUUAAAGUGCCAUUUUCUUUGGAAUUAAAAACAUUAGUAUGUUGGCAGUUGCAAGGGCAGAGAAGUUCUACAUAAGCAUCUCAAACCUUCUUAAUAAAUCGAGGUCCCUGGGUGUUGACACAGAAUUGUGCGUGUGAAGUUCACAUUGCAGGAACAGAGUCCAAGUAUAAUUUUAAGAACACCUCAGAAACCUGAUGCUACACGGUGUUUCCACUCUACUGCCAUUUGGCCUUUGUGGUUCCAUUCCUUCCACUACACAAGGACAGAAUUAUAAGAUGCAAAAUCUUGCAUCUCAGCAGGUUUGCUCUGUCUCUAAUAAGAUAGAAGGGAAAACCCUGUCAAGACUAAUACCUAAAAUGAAAAUGAUACAGUACUCUGCAUGA
RNAcentral lists this long non-coding RNA (852 nucleotides) under Lonchura striata (white-rumped munia). RNAcentral's name for it is "domestica (Bengalese finch) lncRNA (ENSLSDG00000013702.1)". Lineage: Eukaryota; Metazoa; Chordata; Aves; Passeriformes; Estrildidae. The record is from RNAcentral.